AUCCUUGAAAGAGUGCGUAAUAGCUCACUGGUCAAGUGAUUCUGCGCCGACAAUUUAGCGGGGCUCAAGUUAUCCGCCGAAGCUGUGGCAUUCACAUGUGUGACCGGAAGGUUGUGUGGAUGGGUAGGGGAGCGUCGUGUGCGUGUUGAAGCGGUGGGGUGACCUGAUCGUGGAGUGCAUACGAGUGAGAAUGCAGGCAUGAGUAGCGAAUGACGGGUGAGAAACCCGUCCGCCGAAUAUCCAAGGGUUCCAGGGUCAAGUUAAUCUGCCCUGGGUUAGUCGGGACCUAAGGCGAGGCCGACAGGCGUAGUCGAUGGACAACGGGUUGAUAUUCCCGUACCGGCGAAACAACGUCCGUGCUGGGGCACGCGAUGCUAAGCAUGCGAGACUGUCUGCUGCCUUUCGGGGUGGUGGGUGGUUGAGUCUGUGAUCCGAGUGUGUAGUAGGCAAGCCGCGGAGGGACGCAGGAAGGUAGCUCAUCCUCAGCGUUGGUUGUCUGAGGCUAAGUGUGUAGGGUGGGGUGUAGGUAAAUCCGCAUUCCGUGAUGCCUGAGACACGAUGGGCCUGCACCGUUUGGGUGUGGGUUGAGUGAUCCUAUGCUGCCUAGAAAAGCUUCGUUGGCGAGUUGUUAGCCGCCCGUACCCUAAACCGACACAGGUGGAUAGGUAGAGAAUACCGAGGCGAUCGGGAUAAUCGUGGUGAAGGAACUCGGCAAAAUACCCCCGUAACUUCGGGAUAAGGGGGACCUGAUACGUGACCAGCCUUGCGUUGUGAGCGUUGAGGGUCGCAGAGACCAGGCCCAAGCGACUGUUUACUAAAAACACAGGUCCGUGCCAACUCGUAAGAGGAAGUAUACGGACUGACUCCUGCCCGGUGCUGGAAGGUUAAGGGGAACUGUCAGCCGCAUUUUGUGUGGUGAAGCGGUGAACUUAAGCCCCAGUAAACGGCGGUGGUAACUAUAACCAUCCUAAGGUAGCGAAAUUCCUUGUCGGGUAAGUUCCGACCUGCACGAAUGGAGUAACGAUUUGGGCGCUGUCUCCACCACGAACCCGGUGAAAUUGCAUUACGAGUAAAGAUGCUCGUUACGCGCAGCAGGACGGAAAGACCCCGGGACCUUUACUACAGUUUGGUAUUGGUGAUCGGUGUGACUUGUGUAGGAUAGGUGGGAGACUUUGAAACCGGGACGCCAGUUCCGGUGGAGUCGUCGUUGAAAUACCACUCUGGUCAUUCUGGUUAUCUAACCUAGGACCGUUAUCCGGUUCAGGGACAGUGCCUGAUGGGUAGUUUGACUGGGGCGGUCGCCUCCUAAAAGGUAACGGAGGCGCCCAAAGGUUCCCUCAGCCUGGUUGGCAAUCAGGUUUCGAGUGUAAGUGCACAAGGGAGCUUGACUGUGAGACCGACGGGUCGAGCAGGGACGAAAGUCGGGACUAGUGAUCUUCUGGUAGCGAAUGGAAGCGCCAGGACUCAACGGAUAAAAGGUACCCCGGGGAUAACAGGCUGAUCUUGCCCGAGCGUCCAUAGCGACGGCAUGGUUUGGCACCUCGAUGUCGGCUCGUCGCAUCCUGGGGCUGGAGUCGGUCCCAAGGGUUGGGCUGUUCGCCCAUUAAAGCGGCACGCGAGCUGGGUUUAGAACGUCGUGAGACAGUUCGGUCCCUAUCCGCUGCGCGCGUAGGAGUCUUGAGAAGGGCUGUCCUUAGUACGAGAGGACCGGGACGGACCAACCUCUGGUGUGCCAGUUGUUCCGCCAGGAGCACGGCUGGUUGGCUACGUUGGGAAGUGAUAACCGCUGAAAGCAUCUAAGCGGGAAGCACGCUUCAAGAUGAGGACUCCCACACCGUCAAGGUGGUAAGGCCCCCCGCAGACCACGGGGUUGA
RNAcentral lists this ribosomal RNA (1874 nucleotides) under human oral metagenome. RNAcentral's name for it is "bacterial LSU rRNA". It matches the Rfam family "Bacterial large subunit ribosomal RNA", at positions 1118 to 2856 of the family's 2925-position model. The record is from RNAcentral.